RNAcentral lists this ribosomal RNA (560 nucleotides) under Cercospora sp. 1 VM-2021. RNAcentral's name for it is "partial large subunit ribosomal RNA". It matches the Rfam family "Eukaryotic large subunit ribosomal RNA", at positions 53 to 637 of the family's 3401-position model. The record is from RNAcentral. Lineage: Eukaryota; Fungi; Ascomycota; Dothideomycetes; Mycosphaerellales; Mycosphaerellaceae.
GAGGAAAAGANACCAACAGGGAUUGCCCUAGUAACGGCGAGUGAAGCGGCAACAGCUCAAAUUUGAAAUCUGGCGCAAGCCCGAGUUGUAAUUUGUAGAGGAUGCUUCUGGGUAGCGACCGAUCUAAGUUCCUUGGAACAGGACGUCAUAGAGGGUGAGAAUCCCGUAUGUGACCGGCCCGCACCCUUUACGUAGCUCCUUCGACGAGUCGAGUUGUUUGGGAAUGCAGCUCUAAAUGGGAGGUAAAUUUCUUCUAAAGCUAAAUACCGGCCAGAGACCGAUAGCGCACAAGUAGAGUGAUCGAAAGAUGAAAAGUACUUUGGAAAGAGAGUUAAAAAGCACGUGAAAUUGUUGAAAGGGAAGCGCCUGCAACCAGACUUCGUGGCAGUGUUCCGCCGGUCUUCUGACCGGUUCAUUCUCUGUCGCGAGGCCAUCAUCGUCUGGGCCCGCCGGAUAAGACCUGAGGAAUGUGGCUCCCCCUCGGGGGAGUGUUAUAGCCUCUGGUGAUGCGGCGANGCUCGGGCGAGGUCCGCGCUUCGGCAAGGAUGAUGGCGUANUGG